CGCGAACCAGAGGCAACGCGAUGUCUCGCCUCUUGUCAUUGAAAGUGCUCAAGAUCUAGUGCAGACCAUGUGGGAUUGUUAUCGUCGAAUAUACGCGGGCAGCAUACUUGCGUGAACGUUUUUUCCUUGCUGGCUGCUCGUUCUCUCGAGAUUCAAGGAUUCCAAACAUCACUUGACCCAGAUCUUCGUUAAACUUCGAC
RNAcentral lists this unclassified non-coding RNA (200 nucleotides) under Bombus terrestris (buff-tailed bumblebee). RNAcentral's name for it is "misc RNA ENSBTSG00005019995.1". The record is from RNAcentral. Lineage: Eukaryota; Metazoa; Arthropoda; Insecta; Hymenoptera; Apidae.